AGAGGAGAAGAUAGAGAGGUUAGGGGAAUAACGACAACAAGGAUGAUGAAAAGGGAGGACGAAGAAGAGGAGGUAGUGUAAAGUGUAGGGAGUGACAGAGGACAGUGACAUGUGCAUUGUGAAAUGUGUGUGUAUAGUGUGUUGAGGGAAAGCAAAGUAUGGAUAGAGCAUUGUAAGGGAGAGAGAGGAGUGAAUAGAUUGUAGUGAGGGAGAGAAGGGUGAAGGUGGAGGGGGAGAUGAGUGAAGGUGGAGGGAGAGAUGAGUGAAGGUGGAGGGAGAGAUGAGUGAAGGUGGAGGGAGAGAUGAGUGAAGGUGGAGGGAGAGAUGAGAGAAGGUGGAGGGAGAGAUGAGUGAAGGUGGAGGGAGAGAUGAGUGAAGGUGGAGGGAGAGAUGAGUGAAGGUGGAGGGAGAGAUGAGUGAAGGUGGAGGGAGAGAUGAGUGAAGGUGGAGGGAGAGAUGAGUGAAGGUGGAGGGAGAGAUGAGUGAAGGUGGAGGGAGACAUGAGUGAAGGUCGAGGGAGACACGAGUGUGAACUGUAAAGAGCAGUGGGGGAGAGAGGAGUACAGACAGA
This is a long non-coding RNA of Oncorhynchus keta (chum salmon), 571 nucleotides long. RefSeq lists it as uncharacterized. The record is from RefSeq and is a predicted model, not a curated record. NCBI's taxonomy places the organism in Eukaryota, Metazoa, Chordata, Actinopteri, Salmoniformes, Salmonidae. The transcript is spliced from 3 exons.